GACUCGAUGGCGGAAGGCCCGCAUCCACUUAGGGUUCCUGCAGGGUCUGGACAAAUUUGUGGGCGUUGCCCGUUCGAUUCGGGCUCGAGUCA
Mycena polygramma is the source of this 92-nucleotide non-coding RNA. NCBI's taxonomy places the organism in Eukaryota, Fungi, Basidiomycota, Agaricomycetes, Agaricales, Mycenaceae. The record is from the annotation of a GenBank genome assembly.